UGAAUAUUGAACAUAAAUGUCUGCUUCAAUUUUAAAAUAUACUUUAAGACUUUAAGAGGUUGAUUUUUUUCAGACUAAAGACAGUGUAAUUAGUGAAAAAGAUGGAUCAUGUUAGUAUAUGAUGCCUAGUCUUUACUAAUUAACAUUCAAAUCAUGCACACUCAUCCAAGCUGCCACACCAUGGGAAGGACCUCUAUCUUUUUUUUUUUUUUUUUACGGCAAACGGCUAUUCUAUUACUCAGAUUUGAGAUGGUCUGGGAAGCAAAACCGGAAUAGAACAACCAAUAAAACAUAAAGAUCUAUGAAAAGAAUGUGCAUUCCUAGCUAACGAAUCUGCAAUCUCAUUUUGCGUCUUUGGAAAGUAGCUGAUCUUGAAGUAGCUGAUCUUGAAAAGGACCUCUAUCUUGUGUCCUAACUUACAUAGAUUUAUACUGUAUAUAAAUUUAAUAUAUAACUUAAUUUUCUUAAUGUUUAUGUUGCUUUGUUGACAUAAAAAAUCUACUAUCUCUUAAACCAACUCCAAAGUUGUUUUAAUUUUUAUUUUUUGCUUCAUUUAAAAAAAAUGGUUUUACUGGUAUUUCAUUUCUCGCUUCAAAAUAAAGUCAUGAACAAGAUUUUUU
Molecule: long non-coding RNA, 620 nt
Filed under: Brassica rapa (field mustard)
Lineage: Eukaryota; Viridiplantae; Streptophyta; Magnoliopsida; Brassicales; Brassicaceae
Description: long non-coding RNA (BRAP_LNC001715)
Source: RNAcentral